GAGAGGAGACAUCCAUGGAACGGAGUUCCAUUUAGGAUGGAUGGCGACGAUUUGUCACAGAGCGUAGCGAUGUGAUGCUUCCCGUG
Non-coding RNA from Clostridium sp. CAG:127, 86 nucleotides. The record is from Rfam. NCBI's taxonomy places the organism in Bacteria, Bacillati, Bacillota, Clostridia, Eubacteriales, Clostridiaceae.